GCUUCCCAUCCCCCCCUCCCCGGCCCCCGCGCCUGCCCCUCCCCCCGCUGUCAAACGCCUGCCCCUCCCCCUCCUGCUGUCCCCGCCGAAGUUCGCGCCGCUCCUCCCCCGCCCCCGCGCGCUCCCCGUGGCCCUGCGCGUCCCGCCCCCGCGCCCCACGUGCUGCGAUCCGGCCAAUGGGAAACCCGCGCGCGCGGACCCGGAUCAGGAAACGCGCGGGGGUUGCGUGAUGGAUGCUGCUAGCCACCCGGGCGGGAGGAGCGAGCAGGGGCUUGUGUUCCUCGGCCCCCCAACUUGGAUUCCGGCUGAGAAGUUGGGGCCUGGUUAGCCUGCGCAGAAUUUGUACAUCAUUUUUCAUUUAAAGAUUUGGAACCUUCCUAUAUUGCAGUUGAUGGAGGUGCUGAUGAGAGUUAAACUGGCCCCCUUUACUGGGAGCUACUUGAGACCUCCACCCUAGAGUGGGAAUAGACAGACGACGCCUGCACAAAACCCGGCUUUGAAUCCAGUAACUUCGCGUUCCAGAACAUCCACCAAACAAAACCAAGUUUGAGAUCGAAUAAGACCCUUCCUGGUCUGAUUGUCAAUCGGUCUUUUCUAACUCUUCCCUCCCUUCUCCUUUCGGAUGGUGUUUCCUCAGGCAGGAUCUAGAGCAAGGGCUAUAUUUACAGGGCAGCCUGUAAUUUCUGAAUUGCUGAAAAUUAGCAUUUUAACGAUAUCAGUAGCUCCGGAAAGGAGGGAGAAGGGACUGUUGCCUGCCAUUUGGUAAUUGAAAUUUGAUGGGUAAACUAAUUAUGCCAUUAUUAACAAAUAAAUUACUUAUUAAUUCCACCUAAUGUUGAUCUUUGAAGUAAAUACUGAUGCCGCA
Molecule: long non-coding RNA, 865 nt
Organism: Rattus norvegicus (Norway rat)
Lineage: Eukaryota; Metazoa; Chordata; Mammalia; Rodentia; Muridae
Gene: Hoxa3l1
Product: homeobox A3 like 1
Source: RefSeq, a predicted model, not a curated record